This 1360-nucleotide ribosomal RNA is filed under the name uncultured prokaryote. Its description in RNAcentral is "partial 16S ribosomal RNA". It matches the Rfam family "Bacterial small subunit ribosomal RNA", at positions 24 to 1382 of the family's 1533-position model. The record is from RNAcentral.
UCAGGAUGAACGCUAGCGGCAGGCUUAACACAUGCAAGUCGAGGGGUAACGAUAGUGCUUGCACUAGGCGACGACCGGCGCACGGGUGAGUAACGCGUAUGCAACCUACCUGUAACAGGGGCAUAGCCCGAAGAAAUUCGGAUUAAUACCCCAUAAUAUUUUCGAGAAGCAUUUCUUGAAUCUUAAAGCUUCGGCGGUUAUGGAUGGGCAUGCGUAGCAUUAGAUUGUUGGUGAGGUAACGGCUCAUCACCAAGUCGUUGAUGCUUAGGGGGUCUUAAAGGAUGGUCCCCCACACUGGUACUGAGACACGGACCAGACUCCUACGGGAGGCAGCAGUGAGGAAUAUUGGUCAAUGGGCGCAAGCCUGAACCAGCCAUGCCGCGUGCAGGAUUACAGCCCUAUGGAUUGUAAACUGCUUUUGUACGGGAAGAAACCUGAUUACGUGUAAUCAGCUGACGGUACCGUAAGAAUAAGGAUCGGCUAACUCCGUGCCAGCAGCCGCGGUAAUACGGAGGAUGCAAGCGUUAUCCGGAUUUAUUAGGUUUAAAGGGUGCGUAGGCUGAUUAUUAAGUCAGUGGUGAAAUCUUGUAGCUUAACUACAAAACUGCCAUUGAUACUGAUAAUCUUGAGUAUAGUUGAGGUAGGCGGAAUGUGUAGUGUAGCGGUGAAAUGCAUAGAUAUUACACAGAACACCAAUUGCGAAGGCGGCUUACUAAACUAUAACUGACGCUGAUGCACGAAAGCGUGGGUAGCGAACAGGAUUAGAUACCCUGGUAGUCCACGCCGUAAACGAUGAUUACUCGUUGCAUGCGAUACACAGUAUGUGACUUAGCGAAAGCAUUAAGUAAUCCACCUGGGGAGUACGUUGGCAACAAUGAAACUCAAAGGAAUUGACGGGGGCCCGCACAAGCGGAGGAACAUGUGGUUUAAUUCGAUGAUACGCGAGGAACCUUACCUGGACUUAAAUGUAGCGUCCGUCCCUGAAAGGGGAUUUCUCUUCGGAGCAAGUUACAAGGUGCUGCAUGGCUGUCGUCAGCUCGUGCCGUGAGGUGUCGGGUUAAGUCCCAUAACGAGCGCAACCCCUAUUGUUAGUUGCUAACAGGUCAAGCUGAGGACUCUAGCGAGACUGCCACCGUAAGGUGAGAGGAAGGUGGGGAUGACGUCAAGUCAGCACGGCCCUUACGUCCAGGGCUACACACGUGUUACAAUGGUCGUUACAGAGGGCGGCUACCUAGUGAUAGGAUGCUAAUCUCGAAAGCUGAUCUCAGUUCGGAUCGAAGUCUGCAACUCGACUUCGUGAAGUUGGAUUCGCUAGUAAUCGCGUAUCAGCAACGACGCGGUGAAUACGUUCCCGGGCCUU